AGCGAGAUUCCCGUUCCAAACCAGCCGCAACUGCGCACAGCCACAAGUGUCUCCUCGCCUCCCGCCUUGAUCCGCCCUUCCCGUUUCCGGCGGCCUCUCCGCCCCAGUCCCGACUCCCGACCGAUGUCCACUCAGUCCAUCUCGCCCGCCUCCGCUCACCUCACUUACCCUGCUACCGGUGCGGCGGCGGCGGCCACGUCCUACUUCCCCGUCCCUUUCCACCUACAGGCCGCGCAGUACUCGACGGCGACCCCCGCGCCGGCGCCGCUUUACAACGCCGUCUACCCCGUGCCCCAAAUCCAGCAGGCACAACAACUCUUCCAGAAAGACUCGCAGAUAAUCACCCCUGAAGCUCUAUCUACUGUAAAGGCUGCUAUUGCGGGUAAUGACAAAGACAAGAAAGUUGAAGCAAAGAAAAAGGCAGUACCCCGGAAGGCAGCUGGGCAAUGUUGGGAGGAUCCAACAUUAGCUGAAUGGCCUGAAAAUGACUUCCGUUUGUUUUGUGGCAAUCUUGGUAAUGAAGUGAAUGAUGAUGUUCUUGCCAAGGCGUUUUCAAAGUAUCCAUCGUUCAACAUGGCUAGGGUUAUACGAGAUAAAUCUACUGGUAAGACUAAGGGCUAUGGCUUUGCUAGUUUUGCCAAUUCAACAGACCUUUCUGCGGCGCUGAAAGAGAUGAACGGUAAAUAUGUUGGAAAUCGACCAAUCAAACUACAGAAGAGUACGUGGAAGAAUAGAAUAGAUUAUGAAGCUCUGCAGAAACCAAAGGCUGGACCACAGAAGAAGCUCAAAGCUCAGAAAAGAAGUGUCCUACACAAGUGAAGAAAAUAAUUAUCCUAGUUUGUCCUCCAGAAUGUUGUCAUGCUGGCCAUGAAGUUCAUGAUUGUAAUGUAGGUGUAAAUAUUCAAAUGACAACCACCGUUUGUGAACAUUAUGAAGUGCUCGUGGUGAUCUCUGAUGUCGAUGAAUGAUUUUCAUCUUUGUAAAAAUAUUAUCAAGUGCUCUUUUGGUUUCACUGAGU
RNA transcript from Lolium rigidum, 1018 nucleotides. It is a transcript of the gene named RNA-binding protein 42-like, with no coding region annotated. The record is from RefSeq and is a predicted model, not a curated record. Lineage: Eukaryota; Viridiplantae; Streptophyta; Magnoliopsida; Poales; Poaceae. The transcript has 7 exons.